Molecule: transfer RNA, 73 nt
Filed under: Elusimicrobiota bacterium
Lineage: Bacteria; Pseudomonadati; Elusimicrobiota
Description: tRNA-Thr
Rfam family: tRNA
About the family: Transfer RNA (tRNA) molecules are approximately 80 nucleotides in length. Their secondary structure includes four short double-helical elements and three loops (D, anti-codon, and T loops).
Source: RNAcentral
GCCGAGAUAGCUCAGCUGGUAGAGCAGCCGCUUCGUAAGCGGCAGGUCGUGGGUUCGAAUCCCAUUCUCGGCU